Molecule: non-coding RNA, 2846 nt
Organism: Peromyscus maniculatus bairdii (prairie deer mouse)
Lineage: Eukaryota; Metazoa; Chordata; Mammalia; Rodentia; Cricetidae
Source: RefSeq, a predicted model, not a curated record
GGGAAGUGAGGUGGGAGGGCUAUUGGUUUAUUCUUUGUCUACUGGAUUAACCCGAUUAUACACCGGGCACCAGCACAAACCGCCUCCCCCACCUCCGAGCCUUGUACGGGAGGAACGGAAUGCAGAUUCGUGUUUCACGUCCCUUCUGCUCUGGCUGGGAUUGGCUUUUGAUUGUGUGGACUUGUAGUUUGUUAGAAUUUCAUUUUUAAGAGGGAUUAUCUAUAGAUGGAGGCCUUUUGAAGACUUUUUUGGUAUUGUUUUGCUCGACGCAAAGGCUUUUUAAAUUAAUUCAGUAAUACCCACGCGAUUACUCAGGGCGACAUCAUGGACUUCCGAAAUAGGGAGAGGGGGGAGAGGCUCACCAUUCCCCUGCAGAAUUGAAUUCCUCCUUCGCGAAACCGUAAAUAAAAGGAGAGUCGCCUUUCAAAUCCCACUAUUUGUCACCCAGAACAUUCUCCUAAAAGUUCCUCUUGUUCGUGCUGGAAGUGGACUAUGGUUAACCACUUAAAAUACAGAAAAUACAUAGGCUCUGGCCGCUGCUGGACGAAGAAAGGUGCCUGCACGUGGAAGCACCCAGCGGGUAGCUGAGAUAGAUCCGCACACUGAUGUUGCAAUUGUAGCUGAGAAUGUACAGAAUGUUUUUCCUCCGCCGGAAAGUACCUGCUGUAAGGUCAAAAUUCCCGCACAGCACCUGCGACCUUGCGCCAUGCGAGGUUCCAGGCGCUGAAAGCCGGCGCUAGGGGAAAACGUGGAGUUUGAUCUCUCUCGCUCCAGCCCUCAGCUGCUCGCUGCUGAUACCCUGGCCUCUAGCAGCCUUCUGGGGACGUAUCUCUCUAGAUUGUCCCUGUCACGUCAUUUGCCUCGCUUGCGCGCUCGCCCUGCCCUCUCCGUGUUUCUCCACGGCUCUUCCCUCUCGCCUGGGGUUUGGAACUGGAGAUGGCAGGGGAAGUGGCAUGCGUUAUUUCCGGGCGCUGGGCUACGUGCCCCCACCCCACGGCCGAGGGUGGAAGAGGCUUCGGCGGCCGGCUCCUUUGCUUCCUCGAGACUUCGGGCUCAGGACAGCCGGGCCUCUCGGGCCACCGCGGCUCGCGCGGCGUCCGAGACCGGGGAGUCUCUAGCAAGGGAGCGCAGGAGUCCCUGCGCUUCCCUGUGGAGCCACCAGGGGGCGUGCGCCAGGCGCGGGGCUCGAGCUGCUUUCUUUAGGACUCACUGCGGGUUGGAGGGGUUGCCUUGCAAAGGAGUGGGUCCCGCUGGCUUCGGGCUUUUAAGAGCAGUGUGGUAUAAGCGCCACGCAAGGUGGCAUUUCUUACCAUCGCCUUAGCCACAUUCCCUUUGAGAAUGAGCUGCUUCGAUUCCGAAGAGCGUUAAGUUUUCAGCCCAGGAGCUUGGGGGUCAAAGGCAGGCUGUGCUAGGCGGCUGGUGUGUGACCAGCAAGAGAGCUGGCCAGAGAAACACCUCCCUUCACCGUCUUGCACCCGGUGGCCGCUUCUUGGGAGACAUUUGCCCCAUGCCAUUUCCUCCAGCGCUGCAGGAGCCCUGCCAAGAGGUCAUUAGGAAUCAAAGCAUAAAACAGAAUUUAAACCAGGAACUUCCGGAUGCUUGGGAAAGAAUCUAAGAAUUCGUACUUAUCUUUCAUAAAUUAGGAAGGAUUUGAGGCAAUAAUCUACUUCUCUUUUUCUUCCCAAUAACCCCCACAUUACUGCUUAGGAAAACAUUUUACCGGUAACUUAAGACCAAAAUAAAUGUAAGAAUCUGGAUUCUUUUUAAUUAUUCCUUAGUCUUUAUCUUACCUAGUGCAAUAUUGUUUUUCAGUCAGUGAGGUGUAUAAGCUACCAUAUUGUACUUCCAAAGACUAGUGUUAAAACAGAAAAGACGAAUUGUAUUUGUGCACACAUUGUAUAUGCACACUGAGGAGUUUCAUGAAACCAUUGUGCCUCAUAAUCAGUUAUGCUCACAAAUUAAAACUGGGGUUAAUUGUGGAAGAAAAUCCAGGAUAAUAGCAGAGCUCAGACAAACAUCAUGAGAAAGUUCAUUUUCAGAUGUGUUGUGGAAAGUUCUAGAAAGAGAACCCUGAAACAAGCACGGGUUUUACUACUUGUCGAACGCCGCAAAACAACAACAGCAAAAACAAACAAGUCCAUGGGUCUCCACACUGCACUGAUGCUCAACUCCGGGUUCCCAGGACUCAUCAAGGAAUAUCCCUCACCAGUGCUGGCUGUUGAUCAGAAUCUGUUACAAAAUCUCAGUGGUCCCAGGGUGGCGUGUGGCCAGAGGAUGACCUUGAACAUUUGUGCCUGUGCCCCUGGAGUACUGGGAUUGCAAGUAUCAACGGCCAGCUCCGGUUUAUAGGCUACCAACUGAGUCACAUCCUCAGCCCUGGAUUCCCCCCCCAACAGGUCUCAAAACCCUAGCUGGUUUGGAACUCACUGUGUAGAUCGGGUUGACUCUGUCUCUUGACUGCGGGAUUUCAAACCUGCUCCACCACUCCUAACUGGAUUUUUUUUUUUUUUAGGGCAGAAUUUAAGUCAUUUGCUACUGUGAGAAUUUUAUUACUAUGUCUUGCAUGAAGUGACUGAAACAAGUUUGAUUAAAGCCAUAAUUUUCUUUCCUUCCCUUUCCUCUUCUGCACCCUCCUCUCCCUCCUCCUCUGCAACCCCCCCCCCUUCCUAAGAUGGUCUUCUUAUGAAAUACAGAAUGUUCUCAAACUUCCUUUGCUGAAUUUUUUUUAUCCUAAUUAAAAGAAAAACUUUAUGGAAAAUUUAUGCUCCAGGUUAUAGGGAAUAAAGAAAUUAGCACAAACCUGAUGAUAGGUGGAUAUAUGGAAAUAAAAUUGAAUUCAUGAAGUU